This 1191-nucleotide ribosomal RNA is filed under the name uncultured bacterium. RNAcentral describes it as "bacterial SSU rRNA". It matches the Rfam family "Bacterial small subunit ribosomal RNA", at positions 215 to 1399 of the family's 1533-position model. The record is from RNAcentral.
UCACUCAAAGAUGAUCCCGCGUUGUAUUAGCUAGUUGGUGAGGUAAAGGCUCACCAAGGCGAUGAUACAUAGCCGACCUGAGAGGGUGAUCGGCCACAUUGGGACUGAGACACGGCCCAAACUCCUACGGGAGGCAGCAGUAGGGAAUCUUCGGCAAUGGACGAAAGUCUGACCGAGCAACGCCGCGUGAGUGAAGAAGGUUUUCGGAUCGUAAAACUCUGUUGUUGAAGAAGAACACGUUUGAGAGUAACUGUUCAGACGUUGACGGUAUUCAACCAGAAAGCCACGGCUAACUACGUGCCAGCAGCCGCGGUAAUACGUAGGUGGCAAGCGUUAUCCGGAUUUAUUGGGCGUAAAGCGAGCGCAGGCGGUUUUUUAAGUCUGAUGUGAAAGCCCUCGGCUUAACCGAGGAAGUGCAUCGGAAACUGGGAAACUUGAAUGCUGAAGAGGACAGUGGAACUCCAUGUGUAGCGGUGAAAUGCGUAGAUAUAUGGAAGAACACCAGUGGCGAAGGCGGCUGUCUGGUCAGUUAUUGACGCUGAGGCUCGAAAGCAUGGGUAGCGAACAGGAUUAGAUACCCUGGUAGUCCAUGCCGUAAACGAUGAAUACUAGGUGUUGGAGGGUUUCCGCCCUUCAGUGCCGCAGCUAACGCAUUAAGUAUUCCGCCUGGGGAGUACGACCGCAAGGUUGAAACUCAAAGGAAUUGACGGGGGCCCGCACAAGCGGUGGAGCAUGUGGUUUAAUUCGAAGCAACGCGAAGAACCUUACCAGGUCUUGACAUCUUCUGCUAUUUCUAGAGAUAGAAAGUUCCCUUUGGGGACGGAAUGACAGGUGGUGCAUGGUUGUCGUCAGCUCGUGUCGUGAGAUGUUGGGUUAAGUCCCGCAACGAGCGCAACCCUUAUGACUAGUUGCCAGCAUUAAGUUGGGCACUCUAGUAAGACUGCCGGUGACAAACCGGAGGAAGGUGGGGACGACGUCAAAUCGUCAUGCCCCUUAUGACCUGGGCUACACACGUGCUACAAUGGUUGGUACAACGAGUUGCGAACUCGCGAGGGUAAGCUAAUCUCUUAAAGCCAAUCUCAGUUCGGACUGUAGGCUGCAACUCGCCUACACGAAGUCGGAAUCGCUAGUAAUCGCGGAUCAGCAUGCCGCGGUGAAUACGUUCCCGGGCCUUGCACACACCGCCCGUCA